Molecule: long non-coding RNA, 1424 nt
Organism: Myiozetetes cayanensis
Lineage: Eukaryota; Metazoa; Chordata; Aves; Passeriformes; Tyrannidae
Exons: 3
Source: RefSeq, a predicted model, not a curated record
AUAGGUUCCCAAAUGUACCUCCCUUGAGGGGGAAGGAAGGUGAAUCAUAUCCAGGCAGGAUCCCGGCUCAGCCUAUACCCACACGCAAACUUUGCUGGGACAGCACUCAGGUUGCAAAGUCAAGAUUUCGGCGCCAACACUCGCUGAGCCCCGCGUGCACCUGCGUGUGCCACCAGCCCUGCUGCGGGAGCGCUCCACCUGUGCCCAUCGGCAGGACCUGGACCUCAAAAUUCAUCACCUGGACCUCCACCACGGACCUCAUGGAGUAAGGGACGCCUGCACGGACCACCUGCAGGCCAGGAGGGCAGUGGGCUGAGACACGAGCACCACAAAGGCUUUCAAACCCGCAGCAGCCACCUGGAGGUUUGUCCAUCUGCCGUCCCAGCCGAGGAGCCUUUACCUGCUGCCACCACCCCACCUUGGCCUGCUCAGCCCCCCAGUUCAUUCUCCAUCCCCCACGGACUCCCUGGUGCUGCCCAGCAGAACCCCUGAGGACCAGACCAGUGCUCCUGCCUGGGUACUCCUGUCCUUGGAUGAGGUUUCAGUGUGGCUGUUAAAUCCUGUUUGGAUGGACUUCCAGCCAGCCCCAGACAGCUGAAGGCUUGGCUGCACAGCACGUGAGAUGGGACCAUUUUGGAGCAGGCACGGGGAGAAGCUGCUUCUUCAGACGAGGUCUGGCAGUGUGGAGGGUUUGUUUCCCAAGCAGCCCUCCCCUUCCCAAUCUCCUGGGCCUGGAGGGCUGUGGGCAACCUGCUUUGCUGUCCCACUCCACAGAGCCCUGUGUCCUCCCACUCGCCCAAGUUCACGGUCCAGCCACUGCAGAGCUGUUGUCUCUCAGGAGCCAGCAAGCACAACACCAAAUCAUCACGGGGUCGGCAGCACCCAGGCUGGGAGGAAAGUGGAAGACCUGGGGUGGAGAAAGAGAAAGGGGUGGUCCUGAGAAGAAACUCACCUCUACUCGUUCUUCUCUCUCAGGUACACUGUAUAUCAAGUUACAUUAUGGCUUAAGACAUCAGAGAUUGGCAAGAGAAGAUGUAAGUUUGGAAGACCUGUCAAAGAAAAGUUUUUAAAAAAAAAUCAAAUAUCCCACAGCGGUCCGAAGUAAUAGCUCAGCUGCUAAAAAAGGUGGAAUUAAAUAGGUCAAGCUAUAGAGCUGUGCUACUUUAUGCCAGCCAAAGGAACUAGCUUCUCAUCUGCUAGGCUGUUUCACGACUUGCUGUUCCAAGAAUCCAUCUCUCCACUAGUAAUGAUGUCAAAUAAAUCUUCACUAAAAUGUAAAAAUGUUUAUGAUGAUACUUACUGACCCGUUCCUUUAUUAAAUGAGGACAAUAGGAUGAUGCCUUGAUAUUUACUAAUGGGUUACUCCCAUCUAACCUUUUCUUGUUCAUCCAGAUCAGCUGUUUUCAUUUCAUCAUUCAAUGGCU